RNAcentral lists this ribosomal RNA (549 nucleotides) under uncultured bacterium. RNAcentral's name for it is "bacterial SSU rRNA". It matches the Rfam family "Bacterial small subunit ribosomal RNA", at positions 355 to 896 of the family's 1533-position model. The record is from RNAcentral.
UAGGGAAUCUUCCACAAUGGACGCAAGUCUGAUGGAGCAACGCCGCGUGAGUGAAGAAGGUUUUCGGAUCGUAAAACUCUGUUGUUAGAGAAGAACGUGUGUGAGAGUAACUGUUCAUGCAGUGACGGUAUCUAACCAGAAAGCCACGGCUAACUACGUGCCAGCAGCCGCGGUAAUACGUAGGUGGCAAGCGUUGUCCGGAUUUACUGGGCGUAAAGGAUGUGUAGGCGGAUAUUUAAGUCAGAUGUGAAAACCCCGGGCUUAACUUGGGGACUGCAUUUGAAACUGGAUAUCUGGAGUGCAGGAGAGGAAAGCAGAAUUCCUAGUGUAGCGGUGAAAUGCGUAGAGAUUAGGAAGAAUACCAGUGGCGAAGGCGGCCUGCUGGGCUUUUACUGACGCUGAGGCACGAAAGCAUGGGUAGCAAACAGGAUUAGAUACCCUGGUAGUCCAUGCCGUAAACGAUGAUUGCUAGGUGUGGGGGGUCUGACCCCUUCCGUGCCGGAGUUAACACAAUAAGUAAUCCACCUGGGGAGUACGACCGCAAGGUUG